AUGGCGGCUUCCCGCGCCUUGGCUGCACUGCUUGCUGUGGUGGUAUUCAUGGUCUGCUCUCCGGCGCCUCGUGUUCUCGCCACUGACCCCACCCAGCUCCAGGACUUCUGCGUUGCUGAUAUAAUGAACCCUGUGAUUGUGAAUGGGUUCGUGUGCAAGAACAUGAAGAUGGUAACGGCGAACGACUUCUUCUUGCCCGGGCUUAACAAGCCGGGCAUGUUGAACGCUCAGGGCUCGGCGGUGACACCGGUGACGGUGCGGCAGCUGCCGGGGCUGAACACGCUGGGCAUCUCAAUGGCGCGCAUCGACUUCGGGCCCAACGGCGGGCAGAACCCGCCGCACACACACCCCCGCGGCACCGAGAUCCUCACCGUGAUCAUGGGGCAGCUGCUGGUGGGGUUCGUCACCUCCAACCAGCAGGACGGGAAGAACCUGCUCUUCACCAAGCAACUAGUGGAGGGCGACGUAUUCGUGUUCCCACAGGGGCUCGUCCACUUCCAGGUGAACAACGGCAAGGUGCCCGCCGUGGCCAUCGCGGCGCUCAGCAGCCAGGACGCCGGCGUGAUCACCAUCGCCAACGCCGUCUUCGGGUCCACGCCGCCCAUCAGCGACCUCAUCCUCGCCAAGGCCUUCAUGACCGAGAAGGACACCGUCGACUGGAUCCAGGCCAAGUUCGCGCCGGCCAUGAGCGGCAACAGCAGCAUGGGAGGAGGCGGCUACGACAUGCCGCCCGGCGGCGGCGAGGGCGAAGGCGGCAACAGCACCGGCGGCGGUGGCGGGUACUACCCUGGCAUGCGCAAGCGGAAGCCCUAA
RNAcentral lists this ribosomal RNA (813 nucleotides) under Triticum aestivum (bread wheat). RNAcentral's name for it is "partial small subunit ribosomal RNA". Lineage: Eukaryota; Viridiplantae; Streptophyta; Magnoliopsida; Poales; Poaceae. The record is from RNAcentral.